Molecule: unclassified non-coding RNA, 236 nt
Filed under: uncultured fungus
Lineage: Eukaryota; Fungi
Description: partial contains 5.8S ribosomal RNA, internal transcribed spacer 2, and large subunit ribosomal RNA
Source: RNAcentral
AACGCACAUUGCGCCCUUUGGUAUUCCGAGGGGCACGCCUGUUCGAGCGUCAUUUAAACCAUCAAGCCCAGCUUGGUCUUGGACGCGGUCGAGUGACCCGUCCGUAACCCGUUGGCGGUACAGUCCGGCUUCAAGCGUAGCAAAAAUUUCGCUUCAGGAGUCCGCGGCGGUGCCCGCCAGGUAAUUACAUCCCAAAGUUUGACCUCGGAUCAGGUGAGGAUACCCGCUGAACUUAA